Molecule: ribosomal RNA, 616 nt
Filed under: uncultured bacterium
Lineage: Bacteria
Description: bacterial SSU rRNA
Rfam family: Bacterial small subunit ribosomal RNA
Source: RNAcentral
AGAGUUUGAUCCUGGCUCAGGACGAACGCUGGCGGCGUGCUUAACACAUGCAAGUCGAACGAGGACCAAGGUGCUUGCACCUUGUAGCCGAGUGGCGGACGGGUGAGUAACACGUGACCAACCUGCCUUCAGGCGGGGGAUAACCUGGGGAAACCCGGGCUAAUACCGUAUCGUGUGUCGUCUCCGAAUGGAGUCGACAUGAAAGGGAGCCUCUGCUUGCAAGCUUCUGCCUGAAGAGGGGGUCGCGACGUAUCAGCUUGUUGGUGAGGUAACGGCUCACCAAGGCUACGACGCGUAGCGGGUCUGAGAGGACGACCCGUCACAUUGGGACUGAGAUACGGCCCAGACUCCUACGGGAGGCAGCAGUGGGGAAUAUUGCGCAAUGGGUGAGAGCCUGACGCAGCGACGCCGCGUGUGGGAGGAAGCCCUUCGGGGUGUAAACCACUGUCAGGGGGGAAGAACUCCGGGUUGGCGAACAGCCAGGUCGGGUGACGGUACCUCCAGAGGAAGCGCCGGCUAACUCCGUGCCAGCAGCCGCGGUAAGAUGGAGGGCGCAAGCGUUGUUCGGAAUUACUGGGCGUAAAGGGCAGGCAGGCGGUCUGUUUAGUCUACUGUG